GGACUACAGGGGUUUCUAAUCCUGUUUGCUACCCACGCUUUCGCGCAUCAGCGUCAGAUGAAGCCCAGUUUGCUGCCUUCGCCAUGGGUGUUCCUCCUGAUAUCAACGCAUUUCACCGCUACACCAGGAAUUCCACAAACCUCUGCUUCCCUCAAGUCUGCCAGUAUGCAGAGCAGUUUCCAGGGUGAGCCCAGAGAUUUCACUCUACACUUAACAGACCGCCUACGCGCUCUUUACGCCCAGUAAAUCCGGACAACGCUUGCACCCUACGUCUUACCGCGGCUGCUGGCAC
RNAcentral lists this ribosomal RNA (292 nucleotides) under uncultured bacterium. RNAcentral's name for it is "partial 16S ribosomal RNA". The record is from RNAcentral.